This 469-nucleotide ribosomal RNA is filed under the name uncultured bacterium. RNAcentral describes it as "partial 16S ribosomal RNA". It matches the Rfam family "Bacterial small subunit ribosomal RNA", at positions 28 to 507 of the family's 1533-position model. The record is from RNAcentral.
GACGAACGCUGGCGGCGUGCUUAACACAUACAAGUCGAACGGAAAGGCCCUGCUUGCAGGGUGCUCGAGUGGCGAACGGGUGAGUAACACGUGGGUGAUCUGCCCCUUACUUUGGGAUAAGCCUGGGAAACUGGGUCUAAUACUGGAUAGGACCAUGCUGUAGGUGGUGUGGUGGAAAGAUUAGUUUCGGUAAGGGAUGAGCUCGCGGCCUAUCAGCUUGUUGGUGGGGUAAUGGCCUACCAAGGCGUCGACGGGUAGCCGGCCUGAGAGGGUGGACGGCCACAUUGGGACUGAGAUACGGCCCAGACUCCUACGGGAGGCAGCAGUGGGGAAUAUUGCACAAUGGGCGCAAGCCUGAUGCAGCGACGCCGCGUGGGGGAUGACGGCCUUCGGGUUGUAAACUCCUUUCAGCCAUGACGAAGCCCUUGUGGUGACGGUAGUGGUAGAAGAAGCACCGGCUAACUACGUG